RNAcentral lists this ribosomal RNA (253 nucleotides) under uncultured bacterium. Its description in RNAcentral is "partial 16S ribosomal RNA". It matches the Rfam family "Bacterial small subunit ribosomal RNA", at positions 524 to 776 of the family's 1533-position model. The record is from RNAcentral.
UACGGGGGGGGCAAGCGUUGUUCGGAAUUACUGGGCGUAAAGGGCUCGUAGGUGGCCAACUAAGUCAGACGUGAAAUCCCUCAGCUUAACUGGGGAACUGCGUCUGAUACUGGAUGGCUUGAGUUUGGGAGAGGGAUGCGGAAUUCCAGGUGUAGCGGUGGAAUGCGCAGAUAUCAGGAGGAACACCGGUGGCGAAGGCGGGUCUCUGGGCCGACAUUGACGCUGAGGAGCGAAAGCGUGGGGAGCGAACAGG